This 506-nucleotide ribosomal RNA is filed under the name uncultured Glomeromycotina. RNAcentral's name for it is "partial small subunit ribosomal RNA". It matches the Rfam family "Eukaryotic small subunit ribosomal RNA", at positions 591 to 1092 of the family's 1831-position model. Lineage: Eukaryota; Fungi; Glomeromycota. The record is from RNAcentral.
CCAAUAGCGUAUAUUAAAGUUGCUGCGGUUAAAAAGCUCGUAGUUGAAUUUCGGAAUUGAUGCAUCGGUCGUGCCUUAAGGGGCAUGAACUGGUGUAGCCAAUUUCUCACCUUCUGGUGAAUUGUUGAUGUUCUUAAUGGGUGUCUCAAUGAACUAGAAUUUUUUACUUUGAAAAAAUUAGAGUGUUUAAAGCAGGCAUUAAUUUGCUUGAAUACAUUAGCAUGGAAUAAUAAAAUAGGACAGUGGUUCCGUUUUGUUGGUUUCUAGGAUCACGUAAUGAUGAAUAGGGACAGUUGGGGGCAUGAGUAUUCAAUUGUCAGAGGUGAAAUUCGUGGAUUUAUUGAAGACUAACUAUUGCGAAAGCAUUUGCCAAGGAUGUUUUCAUUAAUCAAGAACGAAAGUUAGGGGAUCAAAGACGAUUAAGUACGUCGUAGUCCUAACCAUAAACUAUACCGACUAGGAAUCAGACGAUGUUAAUUUUUUAAUGACUCGUUUGGUACCUUACG